Molecule: ribosomal RNA, 460 nt
Filed under: uncultured bacterium
Lineage: Bacteria
Description: partial 16S ribosomal RNA
Rfam family: Bacterial small subunit ribosomal RNA
Source: RNAcentral
CCUACGGGAGGCAGCAGUGAGGAAUAUUGGUCAAUGGACGAGAGUCUGAACCAGCCAAGUAGCGUGAAGGAUGACUGCCCUAUGGGUUGUAAACUUCUUUUAUAUGGGAAUAAAAUGUUCCACGUGUGGGAUUUUGUAUGUACCAUAUGAAUAAGGAUCGGCUAACUCCGUGCCAGCAGCCGCGGUAAUACGGAGUAUCCGAGCGUUAUCCGGAUUUAUUGGGGUUAAAGGGUGCGUAGGUGGAUUGUUAAGUCAGUUGUGAAAGUUUGCGGGUCAACCGUAAAAUUGCAGUUGAAACUGGCGGUCUUGAGUACAGUAGAGGUGGGCGGAAUUCGGGGUGUAGCGGUGAAAUGCUUAGAUAUAACGAAGAACUCCGAUUGCGAAGGCAGCCCACUGGACUGUAACUGACACUGAGGCUCGAAAGUGUGGGUAGCAAACAGGAUUAGAUACCCGUGUAGUC